This 305-nucleotide ribosomal RNA is filed under the name uncultured bacterium. RNAcentral describes it as "bacterial SSU rRNA". It matches the Rfam family "Bacterial small subunit ribosomal RNA", at positions 337 to 634 of the family's 1533-position model. The record is from RNAcentral.
UCCUACGGGGGGCAGCAGUGGGGAAUAUUGCGCAAUGGGCGAAAGCCUGACGCAGCGACGCCGCGUGAAGGAUGAAGGUCUUCGGAUCGUAAACCUCUGUCAGCAGGGAAGAACGGUCACUGUGCUAAUCAGCAGUGAAUUGACGGUACCUGCAAAGGAAGCACCGGCUAACUCCGUGCCAGCAGCCGCGGUAAUACGGAGGGUGCGAGCGUUAAUCGGAAUUACUGGGCGUAAAGCGCUCGUAGGCGGUAUGUCAAGUCAAGGGUGAAAUCCCCGCGCUUAACGUGGGAACUGUCUUUGAAACU